AUUUCAGAUUCAGUUACGUGAGUCCGCUUAAAAGACGUUUGGGGUAACGAUAUACAUUAAUUUUAAAUAAAGCAUUAAUUAGAAAAGGAAAUCGGCCGAUGAUUUUUGGAAGAGGAAAAAGGUUGGUAGAGAUAACGACAAAGAGAUUUUUUGGUGUUUUGCAAUUUGGGAUGAAAUUUAAAUUUAUGAAAUAACCGUAAGGAAUAUUAAAAGUUUCUGACGUUUCUUCAUUAAUUUGUUGAUUAGUUUAAAGAAAACAUUUCAAGUGAAGAUGUAAUUUUCUGGUGUAAAACGUCGAAGAAAGAAUCUAUCCAUUUUCGGCCAAUAGAGGACAUUUCUGUGUAAUGAGUGGAGAAUUGUUUCCAAGAAAACAGAAGAGUUGAAGGAUGUAUUUAUCUUCUUUAUGGAAUACUGAAAUUGAAGUCACUCGUAAAAAGAUACAUGAGUACAUCAAUAAGAAGAAGAAUUUUAUGUAAAUGAAGGGAAACAGAAGUUUAAAUGAAGAUGUUUUAAAAUUAUAUUUUAUUUUGUAAAAUGCACUUUAUAUAAAUUGUUUUGAGAAAUUAUAUGUAUAAAUAACAUUAAUUUUGAUUGUGAUUAUGCAUGUUAAUAUUUUGUGAGCAUUGGUGUAAGCAGUUAUUGUAUAUGCUGUAAAGAUAUCAUUGAAUUAGUUUUAAGCUUUAAAUUUUAGUUUAAGAAAACUUAUGAGGAAGAUACAAAUUACUUUUCUAUCUGCGCACAAAAUUUUAAAAAUACUGCGCUUAAAUCUACAUUUUAAUAUAUUUGAUUGACAAUAAGUUUAACAGUUGCUUUCAGGCGUUUUUUUUAUGUUUUCAUUUAUCGUAUUUUUC
Centruroides sculpturatus (bark scorpion) is the source of this 851-nucleotide long non-coding RNA. RefSeq lists it as uncharacterized. NCBI's taxonomy places the organism in Eukaryota, Metazoa, Arthropoda, Arachnida, Scorpiones, Buthidae. The transcript has 3 exons. The record is from RefSeq and is a predicted model, not a curated record.